GACGAACGCUGGCGGCGUGCCUAAUACAUGCCAGUAGAACGCACAGUUUAUACCGUAGCUUGCUACACCAUAGACUGUGAGUUGCGAACGGGUGAGUAACGCGUAGGUAACCUGCCUGGUAGCGGGGGAUAACUAUUGGAAACGAUAGCUAAUACCGCAUAAUAUUAAUUAUUGCAUGAUAAUUAAUUGAAAGGUGCAAUUGCACCACUACCAGAUGGACCUGCGUUGUAUUAGCUAGUAGGUGAGGUAACGGCUCACCUAGGCGACGAUACAUAGCCGACCUGAGAGGGUGAUCGGCCACACUGGGACUGAGACACGGCCCAGACUCCUACGGGAGGCAGCAGUAGGGAAUCUUCGGCAAUGGACGAAAGUCUGACCGAGCAACGCCGCGUGAGUGAAGAAGGUUUUCGGAUCGUAAAGCUCUGUUGUAAGAGAAGAACGGGUGUGAGAGUGGAAAGUUCACACUGUGACGGUAUCUUACCAGAAGGGGACGGCUAACUACGUG
RNAcentral lists this ribosomal RNA (505 nucleotides) under uncultured bacterium. RNAcentral describes it as "partial 16S ribosomal RNA". It matches the Rfam family "Bacterial small subunit ribosomal RNA", at positions 28 to 507 of the family's 1533-position model. The record is from RNAcentral.